UACGUAGGGUGCAAGCGUUAAUCGGAAUUACUGGGCGUAAAGCGUGCGCAGGCGGUUGUGCAAGACAGAUGGGAAAUCCCCGGGCUUAACCUGGGAAUGGCAUUUGGGACUGCAAGGCUGGAGUGCGGCAGAGGAGACUGGAAUUCCUGGUGUAGCAGUGAAAUGCGUAGAUAUCAGGAGGAAUACCGAUGGCGAAGGCAGGUCUCUGGGCUGACACUGACGCUCAUGCACGAAAGCGUGGGGAGCAAACAGG
RNAcentral lists this ribosomal RNA (253 nucleotides) under uncultured bacterium. RNAcentral's name for it is "partial 16S ribosomal RNA". It matches the Rfam family "Bacterial small subunit ribosomal RNA", at positions 524 to 776 of the family's 1533-position model. The record is from RNAcentral.